CAUAAUCCGAGAGAUUGAAAACCCCAGAUAAGUGCAUUGCCUCAUCAACCAGCGGCUUAAAAUCGAUUUUAUCAUACAUGGACCGCCCGAAUAACACUUUCGACAUCAUUUCUUCAAGAACCUUAGCCACCGCCUGGCUAAGGUUUAUUGUUUCACCCGCCGCCGCUACCUUCCUCACUGAUUCAACCAAUAACCCCACCUCCGCCUUCCUUAUCGGGGCAAAACAUUCAACUUUGGAAGCACUGAGGAAAUGCAAAAUACACCAUUUCCGUACAGUUCGCCAGUAAGAACCGUACUGGGUAAAAGCCACGGCCUUGCCACCAUAUGCGAAGUAUUUCGCGGAUUGGACUUUAGGCCUGGAAGCAAAAACGACGUCAUGGACCUUGAGGAACAGUUCAGCGGCUUCGGGUGAUGAUACCACGAUGGUUGGUACUUUGCCUAGCAUUAUCGACAUGAUGGGUCCAUAUUUUUUGGCGAGAUAGUGAAGACUUUGGUGUGGGAGGUUCCCUAGCAUGUGGAUGUUACCUAUGAUGGGAAGAGGGGCAGGACCGGGUGGAAGUUUCCGGCCAUUUUUGUUGCGGUUUGGUGAGCUGAAGAAGUAGAUAAAGGAACAGAGAGUUCCAAGGAGGACAAAGAGUAAGGUUAAUGUUGAAGAAGACAUUUGGGAGGGAAGCCAAUCACAAUAGCUGAUAGCCAUUGGGGAUUGAUUGAUUGAUUGAGUACUUGUAGAUGGAAGCAACCGAUGGCAGCUGCAAGUCGGGAGAAUUCGCCAAAUAUGUCGAUUUUAACAAAAACUACGGAGUUCGACUUUUUUUUUUUUUUUAAAUGUAAGGAAAUAAGUUGAUUUUGGCUCAUACAUGGGUAAAAGCUUUGCGGGCUUAAUUUGCCAGUUGAAUUACUUAGCGUGGUAAGAAAAUAUUAUUAUAAUUUUGAUUUUAAUUAAUAUUAUUUUUAAGUUUUUAAUGUUAUUAUAUUUUUUUUAUUUUUUAUGUUUAUAUAAUCAAGAAGAUCAAAUUAUUGAAAUUUAUAUACACACAAUUUAAGUGCAAGAGCACCACGUGUUAUUGAACAAUGCUUGAAAGAGGUGAGAUUCUUACACGUGUCUCAUAUGCUCAACGAGACUAAAUUGGAGUCUGCACUUGUCAGUGCUUUGCUGGAGAGAUGGAGAUCCGAAACACAUACAUUCCAUCUAUCAUGCAGUGAGUGUACGAUUACAUUUAAGGAUGUAUCAUUACAACUCGGUCUGCCAAUUGAUGAGGCUGUCAUUACAGGAGUGGUGCACAUUGGGGAUUGGAGGCCAAUUUGCCACCAGCUAUUAGGCAAGGUGUCAAACAAGUUUAGUGGUAAUCAAAUAUAUAUGAAAUGGUUAGAAGAUAAUUUCUCACAUCACAAAACUCUUCUAGUGCAGUUGAAAGACAACAAUUAACUCGGGCAUUAAUUUAUACCUUCUAAUGCCAUAUAAAUCUCAAAAUUUGAUACAUUUAAGGGGACUCUUAUAACUAAUCGACCUAAAAGAAACUGGGCAACUCAGUUGGAGAUCAAUUGUCUUGGUUACAUUGUAUCGAAAGUUGUGUUGGACAAUAGAAGCACAAAAAUUAAAAUCGUUGGUUGUAUAUUCCUUCAAUCAUGGGUAUAGUAUCGUUUACCAUUUUUACAUCCCGAGGAAACUCCCAUUAUCAAUUAUUACUCGUAAUAAGGUAACAUUCAUUUAAUAAUAUAGUUAUCAUAUUAUCUUUUUUCAUUAUUAUAUUUUUGGAAUAACAUAUUAUUUGAACAGAUAGAAAAAUAACGCGAGUCCUGUGGGUAUACCAAAUAAACUUGAAGAUAUUUGGUUAUUGUUAAAUCAAUGGUUAAUAGUCGAGGUCAGUUUUUGAAUUUUUUUUAAUUACAUAAUAAUUAUUUAAGGAUUUGAAAUUUAAUAUUAGGUGUGUAUGAAAUUUAUAAUUUCAUAUUAUAAUUUAAAUGGAUGUCAUACUCUGAUCCGAGAAUUGAAGAAUGCAUCCCGUCUAAAUUUUUGACGAAUCAUAAUAUCUUACAUGUCAAAGUGUCAUUAAUAGUUUUUGCAUUGUCUAUUUUUAAUAAAUAUAUUUGAGGUAAAGUUUUUUUUUUUAUAUAUUCUAUUUGAACUUUUUUAUAUUUAAAAAAAAUAUACAUACUUUUCAUAUAUAUUUUUUAAGAACUAGGACCAAAUUAAUAGAAUAUAUAAACAUUGAUGGUUUAAUUUGUUACUAUAUCAAUUAAAAUUAUGUACAAUUGAUGGAAAAUAUUAUUUUUGAUGAUUAAUUGUCCUUAGUUGCUCACUUUUAAAAUGAACAAUGAUUAAAUAGCUUUGUUGUUUUCAGUAGGACCAAUUUGCUUAAUAUCAAAAUUGAGAGAAACUAAAAAAAAUUUACCUAAAUCUGCUCGUCUAUAUGGGAAGGCUUUCCUUCUUUUAGCUACAAUUGUAUUUAUUAAUUCAUAGAUUUGUCCGGAUAACAAAAAAGUGAUAAUCAAUUAUAAUGAGACAAUGGCUAUUAUUUGCAGAGACCACUGGAUCAAUCACAAAUGCCGACACCUAAAAUCAUAUAGUUAUUUUGGAUAAAUCUAACGUGAUGUAAAGUAUAUAUAUUUAUAAAAAAUUAUAAAUUAUAAUAUCGUAUAAUAAAAUAAUAUAUGAAUUUUAAUUGUAUUGGGUAACAUGUAUUUGUUUUCAACAUACCAUAAUUCUGGGAAGGAAAAUGUGGAUACAGGUAUAAGUUGGACAAGAAGUUAUAAGUGGUUGAACACGGUAUGAUUGCAUGAUGUGAGGGUGACAACUAACUAGUGGACAUGUCCAAGUAGAGGAUGGAUUAAACUUAAUACAGAUAGAGUUGUAUCCAGAAAUAACUCAUUUGCGGGCAUUGGGGGAGUGUUUAGAGGUGCCAACAGCAAGUGGUUAGGUGGUUUGUCGAUGAAGUUAGGAAAGGAUUCAAUUUUCAAGAUUGAGGCGAGAGCCUUACUUAAAGGCCUACUUAUAUCAUGGAGGAAAGGUUAUCGACAAUUGGAAGUGGCCAGACACGCAAAUAGACCCUUCCACAAAAACACGCGGAUCCUGAGGUUGGAGUGGGUCAGGUCGCGGGUUGGCCCCCCAAAACGACGCCGUUUUGGGCGUCUAGGGGCCUAAUGAAACGACGCCGUUUUGAUAACUCCAUUUAAGCCCAAAUUUUUUUAAAACUUCAUUCCAGUCUUUGUUUUUUAAUAAACUCAAAAAAAAAACCUCUCAACUCUCUCUCAACUCCCCAAAAUUCGGUCAGCUUAGGUUGCCGGACCACCGUGGCGGCCGCCGGUCACCGGCGACGGCGCCGCCGCCCACAAUGGCCAAAAAACCAAAAAAGCCUAUUUUUUGGGGUUUUUUUGACUCCCCGACUUCGAAUAACGCCGAUUUUCAUCGGAAUUGGCACCUCUCUCACCAAAGGUACGUUUUCAAUCCUUUUCUUUUUAUUUAUUUUUUGUUUUUUCCUUCUAAAAAAUAAUAAGAACGAAAGAAAAAGAAGAAAAAAUAAGGAAAAAAAAUCCCACUACCUUCGAAAAUCUAUUGAUUUUUUCUAUUCUCUUUCAUUCAUUCGUUCUUAUUAUUUUUUUUAGAAGGAAAAAACAAAAAAUAAAUAAAAAGAAAAUGAUAGAAAACGUACCUUUGGUGAGAGAGGUGCCGAUUCCGAUUAAAAUCGGCGUUAUUCAAAGUCGGGAAGUCGAAAAACCCAAAAAAUGGGUUUUUUCAGUUUUUCGGCCACCGUGGGCUGCAGCGACGGCGCUGGGGACCGGCGGCCGCCACGGUAGUCCGGCGACCUAAGCUGACCGAAUUAUGGGGAGUUGAGAGGAUUUUUUUUGAGUUUUUUUAAAAAACAAAGGCUGAAAUGAAGUUUUUUUAAAAAAUUGGGCUUAAAUGGAGUUAUCAAAACGACAUCAUUUCAUUAGGCCCCCAAACGCCCAAAACGGCAUCGUUUUGGGGGGCCAACCCAUCACCAAACCCGCUCCAACCUCAGGAUCCGCGUGUUUUUGUGGAAGGGUCUAUUUGCGCGUCUGGCCCUUCCGCCUUUUUUAUUUACAAUUAAGUUUUUUUUUAUUUUUAUAAUUUUUCCCUAUAAUUUAUCUCGGCUUCCAUUUUAGUCCCUAAUUGAACUUGUUGGGCGGGGAUUAUUGCUCAUUUGGUCCAUCCUUGUUAUUCGCGCAUUCAACUUGGUCCUUUUCCUCUUUAUUUAUUUCUAAUUUUCCCCAAAUUUAUGUUUUAAGUUCGAUUUGGCCCUUUUUUGUUAUUUUGCUAUUUUACUAUUAAAUUAAUUAAUUUAAUAUUAUUAUCACUAUUAUUAUUUUUCUUUUUCUUUUUUACCUAAAUAUUUCAAAUACAUUUAUUUUAUUUUUAUCCCCUAUUUAUUUAUAUUCUGUUUUAUAAUUUUAAAACUUUAGAUCAUUAUUAUUAUUACUAUUAAUCAUCAUUAAUUUUAAUAUUUUUUUUUAAAAAAAUUGUUUAUACAAUAUUUAUUUAUUUAUUUAAUAUUAGGUCUUUAACUUCAAAUUUAGUUUAUUAUUUCAUCAUUUGUCUUUUUAUUUUUAUUUAUUAUUAUCAUUUUGGCUUGUUUAUCGUAUUUUAUUUUCAUUCUUUAUAUUGGCGUUCACAUUCUACUAUGCAUAUCAACACUGUAAUUCAUUUCAUAUUUCACUACCAAUUCGUGAUAUUUCAAUCCUUCUCCGAUAUACAAACUUCAUUUUUAAUAAUACGCAAUAUUUCGUAUUUUGGAAUUCGAAAAGGUUGUUCCCUAACUUACGGGAUUUUGGUUUUUUCCGAUGAAUCCGAAUAUACGAAUCAUUUUUCAAAAACACAUUUUUUUAAAUUAUCUCAGGAAUUAAUAAGACUGUGUUCUAACUUAUGGAAUAUGGUCUUUUCUAAAACCUAAAUAAUAAAAUAUCUUUCAAAUAAGUAAAUUUUUUCGACAUUUAUUCUCGUAUCGGGAAUUUAAGACAUUGUGUCCUAACUUACUGGACAUAAUUCUCUUUCUCGAUUAAAAGUGAAAUGUGCCCCCUUUUUUUGAAAUUUUUUAAUAUUUUAACAAAAGAUCGUAUUUUAAAUUCUUUUUGAGUUUUCAACUUUCGACAUUAAGACACUAAUUAAUCAACUAGGUACUAAUUUUUGGGCGUUACAAGGGUGCUAAUCAUUCAUCGUACGUAACCAACUCCCGAACCCAUCUUUCUGAAUUCCGUGGACCAAAAUUGUUGUUUUAAUAAAUCAAAUUUGUAAGAGCCCAUUUUUGCCCGGGCCCAAAAUAGAGACCCAAAAUCCAAAAUAAAACAGUCCAUUACAGUAGUGGCCCAAACCCAAAAUAAAAAUAAAACCCAAAAUAUAUAUAUAAUAGUCCAAAAUUAUAGUCUAAUGGGCCCGAACAGCCCAAACCAAAAAUCUAGGCCCGAUUGACCCACCCCUCAAACAUUUCAAAAAAAAACCCUAGCAGCCCCUACUGCCCAUGUGCGCUGCUCAGCCUCCUCGCACGCCCCCUGGCCAUCGUUGUUGCUUGCCUAUCGCCUCAUCCGCAUGCUCUGACACCUCUCUGCCAUCACCUGCAAAAGCAGACAACAAGCAAACAAACAAAUCACAAGCAAACAAAAUAGAGGAAAAUAGUUUUGUAUUUCGGCUAUAAAGCCAAAAUCAGAUGCCUGUAUUUUUUUUCCUUUUUUUACACACAUCAGUUAAUCAAAAACAGAACAAAGAUUUGAAAAGGUUGCAAAAUCUUAUCGUUUUUUAUUUCGUUUCUCUGUUUCCUUUUUUUAUUUUAUUUAUCCAUUUGUUCAUUUCUUUUACAAACCAGUUUCAACAAAUAAUAGGGAAUAGAAAAAGGAAAAAGGAAGGAAAACUUGCCUGAAAAGCCCAUCGGUCGCGUCGUCGGAGGUCUCACCGUCGCCGAAAUCAGCCUUAAAAGGUGGGUUUGGGGGGUCUUUUCUCUCGGCCUUCGGGCUAAAGAAGUUUGGCCUUCGAAGGGAUUUGAAACAGAGGCAUGAAAAUCGCCCUUUGCGCAACGCCGGCCACGGCGGCGCGGCGGCGGUGGCCAUGGCCGAAACUCUAUGGCCGGAUGUGGGGGGAGAGUAUUUGAGAGAGUGCUGCAUUUUUUUUCCUUUGGAAAUGAAAGAGAAUGAAUUUUUUAAAAAAAAUUUGGAUUAUAUAAGUGCACGAAACGAUGCCGUUUUGCGCCAACGCACAUCGUCGUUGAAACGACGCCGUUUGGCCUAGGGACCCGAAGACCCGACCCGCAUUCAUGGGAUCCACGUGUUUUCUGAUGUGAGGGGAUAUUUGUGCAAUAGGCCCCUCCUGCUUUGCGGCGUGUUCAAUGCGAUCCUUUUUAUUUUUAUUUUUGAUUUUGGCCACAAAGUUUACUUCCGAUUCAAUCUGGUCCUUCAACCAUGUGCAGAUGCUACCCCUUAGAGCGACACCGUUUAAAGGACGAGGAAUAUUUCCGUUUUGGUCCUCAGCCUUCGCGCACCUUUGAUUUUGGUCCUAUUCGUUUAUUUUAUUACAGUUUUUACUUUAAAUUCCAUUUUUGUCCCAAUUUAAUCCCUAAUAUGUUUUAUUUUAACCUUAAUCUUUUUUCUUCAUAUUAUCAUUUUUAACAAUUUUCAUUUUUAUAUAUCUUUUUUAUUUAUUCAUUUUUUAAUUUUAUAAACAUUAUUUAUAAUAAACCGUACUAUAUCAUUUUAGAUAUUAUGUGUUUUAAAUUAUUCCAUAUAUUAUUUAUGUUGAAUUGCUAUAUAUGUUAUGUUAUCUUAAACGUUUCAUAGAUGUGUAUUAUUUCGUUUACUCAUAUUUCCAUGCUAUGGUAAUCCAUUCGUAUAUCAUGUUGUUCGAAAAUCAUUUCACCAUAUUAUAAAUUGUCACCCCCAUCAACGCAACCCUUUUGUUCACGCAUUAUUUCAAACAUUACAUUUUUACCCAAACAUGCAAAAAUGAAAAUUUCAAAUAAGGCAAUAUUUUGUGUAUUGGCGAUUCUAGAAAAUUGUACCCUAACUUACGGGGUUUCGAUUUUCCUCGAUAAAUCUAAAUACAUGAAUAUUUUCAAACAAAAGUUUUUAAAUGUUCUCGACAAUUAAAGAUCGUGUUUUAACUUACGGAAUAUGAUCUUUUCUAAAAUCGAGAUAAUCGAAUGUCUUUCAAAUAAGUAAAUUUUUCGGCAUGUAUUCUUGUAUCAGGAAUUCGAUACGUUGUGUCCUAACGCAUUGGAUAUGACAUGUUGUUUUCUCGAUAUGAGGAUUUUUCUAAAAAUAAUAAAGGCAAUAUUUUGCCUUUGGAAAUUCGAGAAAGCGUGCCCUAACGUGCUGGGUUUCGAUUUCUCGUUUGACCAAAUAGCCAAAUAUCCUCUUAAAACUUCAAAGUAUAGGUUUUUGAAACCAUAUGGUGAUCUUGGUUUCGAUGGUUUAAAGUAUUGUGUCCUAACGUGCUGGAUGUGAUAUUCCUUCAGAACAAGAGAAUCUUAAAUUUCAAUCCAUGUUAUUCGAGUUUUUUUUAAGGAUCGUAUUUUUAAAACUCUUCAAAGUUUUCAACCUUUGGCACUAAGACACUAAUUAAUCAACUAGGUACCAAUUUUGGGGGCAUCAAUAGUGCUAAUCCUUUCUCGUGCGUAACCGACUCCCGAACCCGUUUUCUGAUUUUCGUAGACCAAAAUCGAUGUUUUGAUAAAACCAAAUUGUUUAUUAAAACAACCAUUUUUUGAGGUGGUCCGAUCACACUACAUCAAAAAAUAUUGGUGGCGACUCUCAUUUUCGUCGACCUCGUUUUAUCAAAAAAUGGUGUCAACAGCUUGGCGACUCCACUGGGAAACUUAAAAAGAGAGUCAAGCCACGUGUUGAUUACUUUUUGUCUUUUUGUCAAAAAUUAAAAACUUGGUUUAAGUGUACGAUCCUUUCAUUGCAUUACAUUCGUCUUUAUUUCGGUAUUUAUCAUUGUGGUUUAUAACUACUGUGUUAAUUCAAGUUUGGAUAUAUUUCUGCGCAUUACAUUGCAUGAUCGGUAGAUCUUACCCUUCUAAGUGGGAGUGAGAAACUACGCCUUCGUGAGGUUUUCACCUCCGCAUGGGAUAGUGAAUCGCUUUCGGGAUACAUCCGUACCUAUGUCUUCGUGAGGUUUUCAUCUCCGCAUGGCCAUAGGGAAAUGUAUUCUCCUGAACUAAACUCUAUCCAUAUGAGCCUAUAAUGGGUGAGGAUCGAGGAAUCUGCCUGUUCGGGUACCUUUACUUUAGAACCAAACCGUAUAUAGUGAGCCCUAAGAACCUAUCCUAGGUAGAACCAUGCCAAAACCUUAGUGGUCACCCGAUUAGGUGCUCUAUUUGUUUCUUUCUUACUUACUUUUGCUUUGUAAUAACCCGUUUUGUUUUGUUUCGGUUAUGAUUACAUUGCAUUUUUCAUUAAAUAGAAAAGAGGUGUUGAUUCACGUUCAAGUAUCUAAAUAGAGAGCUUGUCAUAAGAAAAUGAGUUUCUUGAUAAAAUGAAAGACAAUGCGGUCGUCCGAAUAUGGUCCGAGAAAAUGUAACGAGGGAAGGGUGAUAGUCUGGUGAAUGAGUACACGACUUGCCUCGUUUCCCGAAGACUCAAGCUGACGAAGACUAUUUAAGAGCCGUUAGCGUCAACUUUCUUAAAGAAGCCAAUGAGCAUCACGAGAAUGAGUGAACAAUGAGUCGUAGCUCAGAUCAAGUAAAAAGGAGAUAGAGGAGGUACCAUUUUAAAGAGUUUUCGAGAUUCAAUCUUAACAUAUGGUUUGAAGAAAGGGGUCGAUGUCUUCGUCUAGAAAAUUAGGGCAAGGCCGUAUAUGUAAAUUUCCGUUUUAUGUAAAGAGAUUUAUUUUCUAGUAAAGUUGUUCUAAUAGAAUUGAAUUAGAAUCAACGUCUCUUUUUGCAUUCAUGCAUCAACAUUACAUUUCAUUGCAAUAAAUAAAUUUCCUAAAAUCCAAAAGUGCAUAGAGUUCAGAACUCUAGUAUAGAGCCAUAUGGAUGAUAAAGAAUUGGAUUUCUUUAAAUAUAUCGAUGGUUCGAAAGGUAAAGAUGUUUGUGCCUUUGAAGAAGAAACUAAAAAACUAUCAGGAAUUUGUUUCUACAUCCCUAGAGGUGUUCUAAACAACUGGACUGUGGAGUAAAUUCUUGUAGUUUUUAGGACCAUUUUAGAGUAAUAUUCAGAACACUCUUAUUGCUCUAAGCCUAGGAGCAAUAGAAAAUCUUUUUGUGAAAAAGGCACAUGUCCACUAUUUUUUAUUUCAACGAAAUGCAUCUUUGUGUCCUGUUUUGGCAAACAUUCUUUUGUUUUUUCCAUUUUAUUCAUACUCAUACCACACAAAUAAUUCCCCUUUGAUUCAUUUGUUCUUUGAGUCUUCUUUCGUUCCUUUAAUAGGUCUCUAGAUAUUAAUGAUAUGAGUGACACUGCUAUUGACUCAGAACCUUCUUUUGAGCAAGAUAUGUAUCCAGAGGAACCUCAGGACUUUGAAGAUGACCGAGACUAUAGCUUAUCUCCUGAUUGCUAAGGAUGGGAGAACAAGUCGAGAAACAAAUCCUGCUUUACAAAGAAUCAGUAAAAAUUGUGAGCUUAGAAGAAGAGAAAGAGGUGAAGAUCGGAGCAUGUAUCACCGCAGAGACAAAGCAAGACGUCAUGUAUUCGUUUGAUCGUAUCAAGAUAUGACUGAGCUACUAAGACUUGUAGACACUGUUGAGGCUAAAAAAAAAAGUGUUUGAGGAACACAUGCUAAUGGUUUUGCAAUGGCCAAGCAACUUAUGAGAUACUGUUGGUCCACCAUGGAAGGAGAUUGCAUCAGUUAUACCAAGCAAUGCAUAAGUGCCAAAUUUUUAGAGACAAGAUUCAUGUGCCUCAUUCAUCUCUUCUUGUUAUAACUUUUCGAUGGGCUUUCUCUAUGAGGGCCAUGAUGUCAUUGGGCUGACCUCGCCAAAAGCUUUUAGCAAUCAUCGAUUUAUCUUUGUGGUCGUCGAUUACUUCAUCAAGUGGGUAGAGGUUGUUUCAUAUGCCAAUAUCACAAAGUUAACAGUCAUCAAAUUUUUGAAAAAAGAAAUCAUAUGUCGGUAUGAAAUGCCAAAAAAGGAUCAUAUCUGACAAUGCACUGAAUUUGAACAACGGCAUAGUAUCAAAAGUUUGUAUUCUGUUCAAGAUUAAAUGAGUUAUCGACCCAAAGUAAACGAUGCAGUGGAGGCAAAAAAAGAAAAGAAAAAAUCCCUCUACUGGGGCAACUCAUUUCUCAUUGGUAUAUCAAACAGAGGUAGUUUUACCCAUUGAAGUUGAUAUUCCUUCCCUUCGAGUCUUGUUAGAGCUGAAGUUGGAUGAAGCUGAAUAGAUCCAAUCCCGAUAUAAUCAGAUAAAUUUGAUUGAUAAGAAAAGGUUGACAGCUAUCCGUCAUGGUAAAACGUACCAAAAGCGAAUGAUACGAGCUCACCAAAUAAGGUUCGCCCUAGAGAAUUCCAUGAGGGGGACCUGAUAUCGAAGAAGAUCCUUUCCAUACAAAAUAACUUCUAAAGAAAGUGGAUGCCAAACUGGAAAGGACCUUAUGUGGAAGGUCUUAUCUGAAAAAGCGUCGAUAUUGACCAAGAUGGACGGCAAGAACCUGCCUAGUCCUGUGAAUUCUGAUUCAAGCAAUAAAUACCUCACUUGAAAAAGAAACGAAAAAAAGAAAAGAAAAGAAAAAUAAAUAAAAAUAAAAAAUAGAGGCUAAGGCGAAAACCCGCAAAGGGCGCUUGAGAUCAAAGGGGUUUUGAAUUGAAAACCCAGAAAAGGGCAAUUCAAAAUUUUUAUCAAAGGUGGGGCAUGUGGUAAUCUUGUCCUCUCUGAAUUAGCAAGAAGGGGAGAUGCUACAUCUUGGGGCAUUAACAAAGUCUUCUAGGACCUCUAAACACAUAUCAAGUUCAAAAGGGUCCUCAAGAAGUUUGUGCAGAGAAGCUCGUGCUGCGAUAUCUGGGGCACCUGUUUGCAUCUCAAUUUGUCUAAAGCAAACACAACAGCUAAUAAUUUUUUCUCAGUGGUUGUGUAAUUGCUUUGGGCAUCAUCCAAAGUCUUCGAAGCAUAAUAGAUAACAUGAGGCUCUUUCCCUAUUCUUUGGCCAAGAAUAGCUCCCACACUUUGGUCACUUGCAUCACACAUGAUUUUGAAUGAGAAGUUCUAAUUUGGUGGUUACACUAUGGGAGCAGAAACCAAUUUCAGCAAGUCAAAUGCGUCUUUACAAGUUUGGUCAAAUUCAAAUUCUUUAUCCUUUUGUAUUAGAUUGCAAAUCGGUUGCACGAUCUUCGAAAAGUCUUUUAUGAAUCGUCUGUAAAAUCCUGCAUGGCCAAGAAACGAACGUACUCCCCUCACAGAUGUAGGGUAAGGUAAUGAGUCAAUAAUAUCCGUUUUUGCUUUAUCGACCUCAAUACCUUCUGAGGAAACUAUGUGACCCAAAAUUAAUCCUUUGUCAACCAUGAAGUGGCAUUUUUCAUAAUUUAAAACAAGAUUAAAUUCUAGGCAUCUUUGUAAUAUCUUAGCAAGAUUAUAGAGACAUUCGUUAAAAGAGUUACCGUACACCGUGAAGUCAUCCAUGAAGACUUCAAUGAUUUUCUUGACAUAAUCGAAGAAUAUACUUACCAUACAUCUCUGGAAAGUGGCCAGAGCAUUACAGAGUCCAAACGGCAUUCAUCUAUACGUAAACGUUCCAAAGGGGCACGUGAAAGUUGUUUUGUUUUGAUCCUCUAGAGCCACCAGAAUUUGGAAAAAUCUUGAGUACCCAUCGAGACAACAAUAGUGGGUCUUACCAACUAAUCGCUCGAGCAUUUGAUCGAUGAAGGGAAGUGGAAAAUAGUUUUUCUGAGUAGCUGCAUUCAACUUCCUGUAAUAGAUGCAAACCCUCCAUGCAUUCUGGACUCGGGUAGGGACUAGCUCUCCUGAUGACUUUUUCACCACUGCCACGCCAGUUUUCUUGGGCACGACAUGAACCGGGCUAACCCAAACACUAUCGGAGAUCGAGUAUAUCAUUCCAGUAUCCAACAAUUUCUGAAUCUCCUUAUUUACUACCUCUAUCAUGGGUGGAUUAAGGCACCUUUGAGCAUCUCUCUUUGGUUUCGUGUUAUCUUCGAUGGAAAUUUUGUGCAUACAAGUGGAUGGACUUAACCCUUUUAUGUCUGCUAUUGUCCAACCAAUAGCUUCCUUAUAAUUCCUAAGAACUCGAACUAGACUUUCCUCAUUGUCUUUGAUUAGUUUGUUUAACACUAUCACUGGUAAAGUGUCUUUCUCUCCCAAAAAGACGUUCUUGAGGUGGUCUGGUAAUGCUUUAAGCUCCAAGGUUGGUGGCUGCAAAACCGAAGGUAACAUUUUAGUUUGGUAAGGUAAUAGUUCAAAUUGGUUACCUCGAUUCAUCAACGAUGGUUGCGUCUCCAAGUGUUUGACAAUUUCUCACAACGGAUCUCCUAUAAUUGAUAAUUCCUUGAGACGACUUAAAACAUCCAUGUCAAUGCUUCUGUAAAUGACAGUUUCCAACUCAUCAUGGUCAUGAUAUUCAAAAUAAUAUUAAGUUAAAAAAUCUAUAAUAUCGAUACUAGAAAUACUUAAUAGUGAGUUAGGAUGACCCAUAGCUUUGUAGACAUUGAAUUUCACGAUUUCACCGUCAAACUCCAUUGUCAGUGUUCCGUACCGAACGUUAAUUUUUGUGCUUGCGGUACUUAGGAACGGUUUUCCAAGCAAAAUGUCAGAUGAAUUAGUUGAGUUAUCGUCCUCCAUAUUAAUAAUGUAGAAAUCUGAAGGGAAAACUAAUUCAUUAACUUUAACAAUGACGUCUUCAAGCAACCCUUUGGGAAAGACGACUGACCUGUUCUCUAACUGAAUUAUUACUCUUGUCUCUUUUAAAAGACCCGUGUUAAUCAACUUAUAAAUAGGAUAAGGCAUAAUAUUAAUGGAAGCCCCUAAAUCACACAUGGCUUUCUUAAUGCCUACAUUACCUAUCUCACAGAAAAUAAAAAACAUACAUUGGUCAUUGUAUUUGGGCGGAACUUUCUUUUGCAGUACGGCGGAGACAUUUUCUCCUACAUUUAGUCUUUCGUUACCUAUUAACCUCUUCUUUAUAGUACACAAAUUCCUUGAGGAAAUUUUCAAAACGAGGGAUUUGUUUGAUACCGUCAAGCAAAGUGAUAUUUACCUCCACCUUCCUGAAUGUUUCGAGGAUUUUUUUUCCUCCUUAUCUUUUUUAUCCCUUGCGAGCCUCUCUGGAAAAAGGAGGUGGCAUCACAACUAGUCUCUGAAUUUCUGAUUUCGGUCUGGCUUUUGGAUCAGAGAUCUAUUUUUCCCGUUCAUUGUCUUACCCAUGACUUUUGUCUGGAACUGUUUCCAGAACCUUUCCGCUACGAAGAGCUAUUGCACUUGUAUUCUGCCAGGGAUUCGGCUCUAUCUGGGAAGGUAAUUUACCUUGAGAUUCUAAAUAAUUAACCACCAUCGAGAUUUUACUAACUUGAUUAGUUAACUCUUGUAUUGAUGCAUCUGUCCUCUGUUAGUAUUUUACAGCAUCGAUGGUAAGUCUCUCCAUAAUAGCUUCUAGAGAUAUGCUCGGCUUGGGUUGUUGUUGUGGCGGUGGCGGAAGUCUUGGUUGGUAUGAUAGAUUGUACCGGUGAUUAGCUCCAUAAUUCAAGUUUGGAUGAUCAUUCCAUCCGGGAUUGUAGGUGUUAGAGAAAGGAUCAUAGCGUCUUUGCGAAGGUCUUGAAAAACCUCCGACAGCAUCAACAUGUGCCAUUGAAUUAUCGUUAAGGAUUGGGCAUAAAUUCGUUGGAUGUUCAUAUUCCACACAGUUGGGUCAGAUUCUUUUUUUUUGUAAGUAUAGAUUGAACAAUAUUAGUAAGCUUAUCCAAUUAUCUUCUAAGGAUGAAACGUUUACCUCAUUAACCCAUCUUGUGGGUUUUGGAUUUGGCCGAUACUGUUGAGAAUUUACCGUCAUGGUGGAUAUCAGUUCUCUUGCCCUUUGAGGAGUCAUAUUUACAAGUGCCCCUCCACUAGUAGUGUCAAUCAUCUUCAUUUCCAUAGGAAGCAAACCCUCGUAGAAAUACUGAAGAAAUGAUUGUUCGGUCAAACUAUGUUGAGGACAACUUGCACAUAGUUUUUUGUACUGCUCCCAAUAGUCGUAGAGCGAUUCACUCUCUAUUUGGCGAAUUCCUACUAUGUCUCUCCUAAGUUCAGCUGCUCACGAUUCUAGAAAGAAUCUGUCAAGAAAUACACGAGAUAAGUCAUCUCAUGUUGUAAUAGAACCGAGGGUAAAUAAAAUAACCAUUCUCUUGUUGUAUCAACUAAAGAAAAUCGAAAGGCCCGAAGUUUAAUUUCAUCUUCAGUUACUCCCUGAGGUUUCAUGCUUGAGCAGACCAUGUGGAAUUCUCUCAAGUGAGUGUGUGGAUUUUCGUUCUUCAAGCCUCGAAAAGUGGGCAAAAGGUGAAUUAGGCCUGAUUUCAACUCAAAUGGGGUUUCUCCGGUUGGAUAGUUGAUGCAUAACGGUGUUUGCUCGUUGGGAGCAGCGGCUAGUUGAUGAAUGGUUUGGUUUGCCAUCCUUUCUGGUUCACCGAGGUUAUCUUCUGCUUCUUUCAUUUCAGGAAGUGGUUUGGCCUCAGGUUUAACCACUUCGACUUAUUUCCCACGUCGAAUUGCCUCUACACGAAUUGCUUGACUCAACUUUUCGACUUCAGAUUCUAGGAUCCCUUGUCCUAGCUGAACUUCUACUUUACUUGCACGUUUAAGAGCUUCUGUCUCUUUUCAUCGUGCUCGUGCUAAUUUCUCGAUCUCUGGGUCGUAUUCGAGAUCUUCGGAUGAAGAUCAGGUCCUGAAAACGAUUUAAACAAUUGUAAGUGUUGCCAGUCCCCGACAACGGUGCCAAAACUAAUGGCUGUCGAUUCCACCAAUAUAAACCUACGCCUAAUUUACAAUUUAAGUAGUAUAGGGAGUAGGGUCGAUCAUUCAGAAACUGGGUUUACUGAAAAUUGUUUCUCUUUCUCGACUAGAUUUUUGUCUGGGCAGUUGUCGUGCCCAAGAAAUUUGGAGGAAGGAUAAAAUUGAAAACCCGGAACCUGAAAUAAACAAGAAAAAAAUGCGUGAAAAGUAAAAGCUGAAAAUAAAAUAAUAAAAAUAGUUAAAUAAAUCUGAAGAAAAAUUAAUUAAACUAAGCUUAGCUUUAGGCAUGGGUUUUUCCUCGUCUUUAAACCGAUCCUCGAAAUAAGAUGAACUCCUCUUUUCUAAUAAGCUAGUUAUAACUACCAAGGACACCUCGGACACCAACCCUUCAUUGUGUAAAUUAGUUAUGGAACGUCCAAUAACUAACCCUUACCAAUCGAACAACCAACGAAACGUUCGUGAUUUAGAACUCUGGCAGCUUUGCGUCCUAGAAGAGCCUAGCUCAAACCAAUGCCCUCAACCGCGUGGGACAUUUAAAUCCGAUUAAUACUUCCCUUGACGGAACCAAACAGCAUUCUCCACUUCACACGCCAAUGUGUUCACAGAAAACCGAUUAAACAAUCCAUCCUUUCGGAAUUCGAACUAUACGUCUAACCACACUAACUCAAAUGACGUCUUUUUUGACUUAGUGUUGAUUUGACAUUGUCAGUUGACGAAAUCAUACUCUUAAUCCGAAGAAACAAUAAGUACUAGAUUUUAGAAGUUAAUUUGUGUAGGUUCAUAACUCACGAAUCUUGACAAGGCUAACUCCGACCUAAAGCUGAAAAUGGAUUUAGUUGACUAAGGUUUGGGACAUGUUGGUAUUGGUCAUAAAUUAAAUAAGGUAAAAAUGGGUAAAAAGAAUGGGUGGCGUGAUUAAGUAUGAGGGCUGGAAUUUUGGUAAUGUAUUAGAGUGGGAUGGUUUGACUACUGGAAAUGAAAAGGAAGUUUGAAAAAGAAAUUGUAAAUGGUUUAAGUUGGUUACAAACUAGAAAUCAAUAAAUAAAAAGAAAAAAAAACAGAAACAACGAAUAGCUUCGUGAGAAUGAAGAAGAGAUUGCAUUCAAAGAGGAAAGCUUGAUUUAUGACUUGUUUUAUGACUUGAUGAAUAAAUGAACAAUGUAGCCCCCUAUUUAUACUAGUGGCUUUGCUAAAUUAAGAGCCACUAGCCAGAGAAAAUCAAGGAAAUAAAAUAUUCCAUGAUAUAAACAAUCCCUACAUAAUCUCCCACUAAGUCAACAAAAAUUUCAGCUAAUUAUAUUGAUUAAAUACUAAAGUUACAUAUUUUAUGUAAUUAAUUUGGUUAAUUUAUGAAAGUGCACCACUAAUUUUGCCAUAUUUAUUGAAUUUUGUGCAGGAAUGCAAUUUGGGGCUAAAUAGAAGAAAAAGGAAACAAUUAGGCUAGAUUGAAGAAAGAAGCAAAGAAUGAGGGCCAAAGAAGAAUUUUUCCAAAAUUAAUUAGCUGAAAUUUUUGAGUUAGUGGGAGAAUAUUUUGGGAUUUAUUUUAUUAUGGGAUAUUUUUCCUUAAUUUCCUAUGACUAGUUGGCUCCUAAUUUAGUAAAUCCUCUAGUAUAAAUAGAGCUUGUAUUGUUCAUCAUUUCAUCAAUCAAAAAAAUAUUAAGCUCUUGUCUUUCAAUACAUUCUCUCUUUUCUCACGUAGCAUUGUUGUUUCUUUAGUUUCCUUUCUUUCAAUUUUUUCCAGUAGCUAAUCACCAAAUCAAGCCAUUUGCAAUUUCUUUUUUUUUUCAAUUCUUUUCCAAAUAGUCAACCACCCCACUUUAAUAUAUUCCAACCCCCAUACUCAAUCACAUCACCCAUCUUUUCACCCAUUUACCUUAAUUAAUUUAUCAAAUACCAACAUGUCCCAAACCUUAGCCAACUAAACCCAUUUUCAGCUUUAGGCCGAAAUUAGCCUCGUCAAAACCAGUGAGUUACGAACCCGAGCCAUUUAACUCCUAAAAUUCCAGUACUUAUUACUUCUCCAGAUUAAGAGUGUGAUUUUGUCAGCUCAUAAAGUCAGAUAAACACUAAGUCAAAAAAGACGUCGUUUUAUUUAGUGUGGUUAGACGUACAGUUGGAAUUCUGAAAGGAACGUUUCCAAUCAGUUUUCUGUGAACACAUUGGUGUGCCAAGUGGAGAUUGCUGUUUGGUUCCGUCAAGGGAAGUAGUAGCCGGAUUUAAAUGUCCCACGCGGUUGAGCACAUUGGUUCGAGCUAGGCUCUUCUAGAACGCAAAGCUGCCGGAGUUCUAAAUCACGAACGUUUCGUGGUUGUUCGAUCGGUAAGGAUUAGUUAUUGGACGUUCUAUAACUAAUUUACACAAGGAAGAGUUGGUGUCCGAGGCGUCCUUGGUAGCUAUAACUAGCUUAUUAGAAAAGAGGAGUUCAUCAAAUUUCGAGGAUCGGUUCAAAGACGAGGAAAAUUCGUGUCUAAAGCUGAGCUCAUUCUAAUUAAUUUUUCUUAAUAUUUAUUUCACGGUUUUUAUUAUUCUGUUUUCAACCUUUACUUUUGACGUUAUUUUUCUGUUAAUUUCAGGUUUUCAAAUUUUUAUCCCCCCGAACGUCUUAGGCACGACAGCUACCCCGACAUAAAUCUGGUCAAGCGAGCAACAAUUUACAGUAAACCAGUCUCUGAGGGAUCGACCCUACUCCCUAUACUGCAUAAUUUGCAAAUUAAGGCGUAGGUUUAUAUUGGUGGAUUCGACACCCAUCAGUUUUGGCACCGUUGCCGGGGGACUGGCAAUACUUAUAAUUGUUUAAAUUAUCUUCAUGACCAGAUCUUCAUCCGGAGAUCUCGAAUACGACCCAGAGAUCGAAAAAUCAGCACGAGCACGACGAAAAGAGAUAGAGGCUCUUAAAGAUGCAAGUAAAGAAGAAGUUGAGCUAGGACAAGGGCUCUUAGAAACCGACAUUGAAAAGUUGAGACUAGCAAUUCGAGUAGAGGCAAUUCGACGUGGAAAACAAGUCGAAGUGGUUGAUCCUGAAACCGAACCACUUCCUGCAACAAAAGAAGUAGAAGACAACCUCGGUGAACCAGAAAGGAUGGCGAACCGAACCAUUCGUCAACUAGCCGCUGCUCCCAACGAGCAAACACCGUUAUGCAUCAACUAUCCAAUCGGAAAAACCCUAUUCGAGUUGACGUCAAGCCUGAUCCACCUUUUGCCCACUUUUCGAGGCUUGAAGAAUGAGAAUCCAUAUACCCACUUGAGAGAAUUCCAUAUGGUUUGCUCAAGCAUGAAACCACAGGAAGUAACCGAAGAUGAAAUUAAACUUCGGGCCUUUCCUUUUUCUUUUGUUGAUACAGAAAAAGAAUGGUUAUUUUACUUACCUCCAGGUUCUAUUACAACGUGGGAUGACUUAUCUCGUGUAUUUCUUGAUAGAUUCUUUCCAGCAUCGCGAGCAACUGAACUUAGGAGAGACAUAGUGGGAAUUCGCCAAAUGGAGAGUGAAUUGCUCUACGACUAUUGGGAGCGGUACAAAAAACUGUGUGCAAGUUGUCCUCAACACGGUUUGACCGAACAAUCACUUCUUCAAUAUUUUUACGAGAGUUUGCUCCCUAUGGAAAUAAAAAUGAUUGACGCAGCUAGUGGAGGGGUGCUCGUCAAUAUGACUCCUCAAAGGGCAAGAGAACUGAUAUCCACUAUGGCGGCAAAUUCUCAACAGUAUCGGCCAAAUUCAAAACCCACAAGACAGGUUAAUGGGGUAAACGUUUCAUCCUUAGAAGAUAAAUUGGAUAAGGUCACUAAUGUUGUUCAAUCUAUGCUUACAGAAAAGAAGAAUCGGACCCAACUGUGUGGGAUAUGUACUACGUCUGAACAUUCGACGGAUUUGUGCCCAAUCCUUAAUGAAUAUUUAACGGCACAUGUCGACGCUGUCGGAGGUUUUCCAGGACCUCCACAAAAACGCUAUGAUCCUUUCUCCAACACCUACAAUCCCGGGUGGAAAGAUCAUCCCAACUUGAAUUACGGAGCUAAUCCCUGAUAUAAUCCGUCAUACCAACCGAGACCUUUGCAACCACCGCAACUGCCACUCAAGCCGAGCACAUCUCUAGAAGCUAUUGUGGAAAGACUUACCGUCGAUGCUGUGAAAUAUCAACAGAGGAUAGAUGCAUCAAUUCAGGAGUUAACUAAUCAAGUUAGUAAACUCUCGAUGGCAGUUAAUCGUUUGGAAUCUCAAGGUAAAUUACCUUCCCAGACAGAGCCGAAUCCUCGGCAGAAUGCAAGUGCAAUAACUCUUCGUAGCGGAAAAGUUCUGGAAACAGUUCCAGACAAAAGUCAUGGGCAAGACAAUGAACGGGAAAAAUAUAUCUCUGAUCCAAAAGCCAGACCAAAAUCAGAAAUUCAGGAACCAGUUGUGGUGCCACCUCCUUUUCCAGGGAGACUCGCGAAGGAUAAGAAAGAAAAGGAGGAAAAAGAAAUCCUCGAAACGUUCAAGAAAGUGGAGGUGAAUAUCCCUUUGCUCGAUGCCAUCAAACAAAUCCCUCGUGAUGCAAAAUUUCUCAAGGAAUUGUGCACUAGCAAAAGGAGGUUAAUAAGUAACGAAAGAGUAAAUGUAGGAGAAAAUGUCUCCGCGGUACUACAAAAGAAAGUUCCGCCUAAAUACAAGGACCAAUGUAUGUUUGCUAUUUCCUGUGAGAUAGGUAAUGUAGGCAUUAAGAAAGCCAUGUGUGAGUGAGGGGCUUCCAUUAAUGUUAUGCCUUAUCCUAUAUAUAAGUUGAUUAACGCGGGUCCUUUGAAAAAGACAGGAGUAAUAAUCCAGUUGGCAGACAGGUCAGUCAUCUAUCCCGAAGGGUUGCUUGAAGACGUCCUUGUUAAAGUUAACGAAUUAGUUUUCCCUGCAGAUUUCUACAUUAUUAAUAUGGAGGACGAUAACUCAACUAAUUCGUCUGAUAUUUUGCUUGGAAGGCCAUUCUUAAGAACCGCAAGCGCAAAAAUUAAUGUUCAGAGUGGAACAUUAACAAUGGAGUUUGAUGGCGAAAUCAUGAAAUUCAAUGUCUACGAAGCCAUGAGUCAUCCUAACUCAUUGUCAAAUAUUUCCAGUAUCGAUAAUAUAGAUUGUUUAACUCAAAAUUAUUCUGAAUAUCAUGACUUUGAUGAGUUGGAAACUGUCCUUUACAGAAGCAUUGACAUGGAUGUAUUGAGUCGUCUUGAGGAGUUAGCAGUUAUAGAAGAUCCGUUGCGAGAAACUGUCAAACACUUGGAGACUCAACCAUCGUCGGCGAGUCGAGGUAACCAUUUUGAACUAUUACCUUCCCAAGUUAAAAUGUUGCCUUCGAUUUUGUAGCCACCAACCUUGGAGCUUAAAGCGUUACCAGACGACCUCAAGUAUGUCUUUUUGGGAGAGAAAGAUACCUUACCGGUAAUAGUGUCAAAUAGACUAACCAAAGACGAGGAGGAAAGUCUAGUUCGAGUUCUGAAGGAUUAUAAGGAAGCUAUUGGUUGGACAAUAGCUGACAUAAAAGGGCUAAGUCCGUCCACUUGUAUGCACAGAAUUUCCAUCGAAGAUAACACAAAACCAAAGAGAGAUGCUCAGAAGCGCCUUAAUCCACCCAUGACGGAGGUAGUAAAGAAGGAGAUCCAGAAAAUGUUGGAUGCUGGAAUGAUAUACCCGAUCUCUGACAGUGAUUGGGUUAGCCCAGUUCAUGUCGUGCCCAAGAAAACUGGCGUGACAGUGGUGCAAAAUUCAUCAGGAGAGCUAGUUCCUACUCGAGUCUAGAAUGGAUGGAGGGUUUGCAUCGAUUACAGAAAGUUGAAUGCAGCUACCCAGAAGGACCAUUUCCCACUUCCCUUCAUCGAUCAAAUGCUCGAGCGAUUAGCUGGUAAGACUCAUUAUUGUUGUCUCGAUGGAUAUUCAGGAUUUUUCCAAAUUCCGAUGGCGCCUGAAUAUCAAGACAACAACUUUCACGUGCCCCUUUUGAAUGUUUGCGUAUAGACGAAUGCCGUUUGGACUCUGUAAUGCUCCGGCCACCUUUCAGAGAUGCAUGGUAAGCAUAUUCUCCGAUUACGUCGAGAAAAUCAUUGAAGUCUUCAUGGAUGACUUCACGGUGUACGGUAACUCUUUUAAUGAAUGUCUCGAUAAUCCUGCUAAGAUAUUACAAAGAUGCCUAGAAUUUAAUCUUAUUUUAAAUUAUGAAAAAUGCCACUUCAUGGUUGACAAAAGAUUAAUUUUAGGCCAUAUAGUUUCCUCAGAAGGUAUUGAGGUUGAUAAAGUAAAAACGGAUAUUAUUAACUCAUUACCUUACCCCACAUCUGUGAGGGAAAUUCGUUCGUUUCUUGGGCGUGCAGGAUUUUACAGACGAUUCAUAAAAGACUUCUCAAAGAUCGCGCAACCGCUUUGUAGUCUGUUACAGAAGGAUAAAGAAUUUAAAUUUGACCAGACUUGUAAAGAUGCAUUUGACGUACUGAAGCAGAAAUUGGUCUCCGCCCCUAUAGUACAACCACCAAAUUGGAACUUCCCCUUCGAAAUUAUGUGUGAUGCAAGUGAUCGAAGUGUGGGAGCUGUUCUUGGCCAAAGAAUAGGGAAAGAGCCUCAUGUUAUCUACUACGCUUCGAAAACCUUGGAUGCUGCCCAAAGCAAUUACACAACCACCGAGAAAGAAUUAUUAGCUGUUGUGUUUGCUUUAGAUAAAUUUAGAUCUUACCUGUUGGGAACUAAAGUAAUUAUAUUUUCUGAUCAUGCAGCUUUGAAGUAUUUAAUAGGGAAGAAUGAGGCAAAACCUCGACUGAUCAGGUGGAUUCUACUUCUGCAAGAAUUUGAUUUUGAAAUUCGAGAUAGAAAAGGAUGCGAAAACUUAGUAGCUGACCAUCUGAGUCGAUUACCGAUUCCAGUAGACGACACACCAUUGAAAGACAACUUCCUAGAUGAAAACCUAUUUUCAGCAAAUGCGGUUCAUCCUUGGUACGCAGAUAUAGUAAACUAUCUUGUCACAGGUACUAUACCUUCAGAAUUACCAAUGUUUAAAAAAGAUAAGAUUAAAAAGGACGCUCGAUAUUACAUUUGGGACGAUCCUUACCUAUGGAAGCAUUGCUCCGAUCAGGUAAUCCGACGGUGUGUAACAGAAACAGAGGUACAGUCUAUCCUUGCCUAUGGAAGCAAUGCUCCGAUCAGGUAAUCCAACGGUGUGUAGCAGAAACAGAGGUACAGUCUAUCUUAACUUUUUGUCAUUCUUAUGCAUGUGGAGGACACUUUGGACCCAAACGCACCGCACACAAAAUUCUAAAGUGUGGACUAUUUUGGCCAAACAUAUUUCGUGAUGCCUUCUUAUUCUGUAAAACCUGUGAAAGAUGCCAAAAAGUCGGUAACCUUAGUCGACGAAAUGAGAUGCCCCUUACUCCUAUCCAUAUUUGUGAAAUUUUUGAUGUGUGGGGCAUCUAUUUUAUGGGUCCUUUUAUUUCUUCUUUCGGUAAUUUUUAUAUACUCUUAGCUCUUGAUUACGUUUCUAAGUGGAUAGAGGCAAAUGCUACUCGCAAUGAUAAUGCUAAGACUGUGGUUGACUUUCUUAAAAGUUCUAUCUUUUCCAGGUAUGGCACCCCACGAGCAUUAAUCAGCGACAGAGAAACUCAUUUCUGCAAUAAACUCGUAAGUGCACUUAUGGAAAAAUAUGGAGUGACUCAACGAAUUGCCACUGCCUACCAUCCACAAACAAACGGACAAGCUGAAGUGUCAAAUCGAGAAAUCAAGUCCAUACUGGAGAAGACUGUUAAACCUAACAGAAAGGAUUGGAGCUUGAGACUAAACGACGCACUUUGGGCUUAUAGGACAGCUUACAAGGGUCCAAUAGGCAUGUCACCUUAUCGACUUGUUUUUGGUAAACCGUGCCAUCUCCCGGUCGAAUUAGAGCAUAAAGCAUUUUGGGCAGUUAAGCAGUGUAAUAUGGAGAUGGAGAUCGCAGGAAGAGCUCGAAAGUUGGACAUUCAGGGACUUGAGGAAAUUAGAAACGAUGCAUAUGAAAAUGCUCGAGUUUAUAAAGAAAAGAUGAAGGCGUUCCACGAUAAGAUGAUCACUAGGAAGCGGUUUUCAAUAGGACAAAAAGUUCUCCUAUACGACUCCACCUUAAAAAUUUUUGCUGGUAAGCUUCGAUCCAAAUGGAUAGGUCCAUUUACUACCACUAAUUUAUUCUCAAAUGGUGCAGUGGAAAUUCAAAGCGAAGAAACCCGGAAGUGCUUUAAGGUGAAUGGACAACGAUUGAAACCCUUCUACGAGAAUUUUCAAACGCACACGAUUGAGGAGAUUGUUCUCGAGGAGCCCGAAAAUUGAAUAAUAGGUCGUCGAGCUAACGACGUUAAACAUAGCGCUGUUGGGAGGCAACCCAAAUUUUCUUUUCCUUUAUGCAAAUAAAAUUUUUGGUAAAAUGGAAAAUGAAAAUGCAUGUCGAGGAUUAGUUCUGUCUAAGGAAAGACUUGGUACUUAAGUAUGUCCAUUGUGACUCACCUCUCUUUCCUGGGAACUUACUUGGCACAUUCAUCACUACUGUUUUACCAAAUCUCGUAAUCUUGGUUUUUAAUAAUUUAUUUCUCGAGUUUAUAGCUUAGCUAAUAAAUUUGAAAAAAAAACAUUUUAAUUUUCCUAUUAUUAUUAUUAUUUAUUUUUACUAUUUUAUUUUAUUUUUAUUUUUAUUUUUACAGGAAACAUUCCAAGACAAAAUUAAAUUCCACAUGUCAACCUUCUUUUUAUUUCAGCCAAGGCCCACUCUAUCUACGAGACCACCCUCCAUGACAUUGAAAUACAUGAGGAGUUUCUUUUUUCUCUCUUUCUCCUACUUAUCUUUACUUUUAUUCUUUAAAUUACAUUGGGACAAUGUAAAAUAAGUAGGGGGAAGGAAACAUAAAUUGGUUCUAAUAUGAUUAUCUGUCAUCACUAUUUUUGCAUGUUUUUGGUAAAAGGUAAAAUUUUUCUUUUGAUAAAUUGGGAUGGUACACUUAUGGUUUGACCUAUUUAGCUAUUUAAUUCUUUACACAUGGAACUUUUCAAUAACCUAGACUUAGUGGGUAAGAAAUUUUUAGGAAUUAUAAGUUUGCUUGACUGCCUACUUUUUAUCAUAUGUCAAAUUUUUGAAUGUCAAAAAAAAAAAAUACUCCUUUGAUACGAAUGUUAAGAGUGAAAAAUUGAGGUUUUACAUCGGGCUGAGUAACCGGAACAUGGUGCUUGGGUUGUCAUCAUGUCUCGCGUAAAAAGGUUCAUGUGGCUGCCCAAUUUCUUUGCACUCACUCCGCUAACAAGUUAUCAUGAGUAGGGCGAAAUAACCCGCUUAGAGACGUCCGAAUUGAGUAACCGGAAUAUGGUGCUUGGGUUGUCAUCAUGUCUCGCGUCAAAAAAUUUGAAAAUGCCCUAAGUAAAAAAAUAAUAAAAUGAAAGGUAAGCCUAUCAAGCUCUCAUAAAUUCUGAAAUAUAUUUACUUACUUCUUAGGCUAGGCUAUUUGAGAUGUUAAUGUGCUAGGAUUAAAUUGUUGAAAUGUGCAAACCAUGGGGGUCAAGUCCUAUUUUGGAGAAAAUUUUUCCUUUUGCAGAUACAUACAAAAUGCUCGAGGACUAGCAUAAGCUAAGUGGGGGGAAUUGAUUAAAUACUAAAGUUACAUAUUUUAUGUAAUUAAUUUGGUUAAUUUAUGAAAGUGCACCACUAAUUUUGCCAUAUUUAUUGAAUUUUGUGCAGGAAUGCAAUUUGGGGCUAAAUAGAAGAAAAAGGAAACAAUUGGGCUAGAUUGAAGAAAGAAGCAAAGAAGGAGGGCCAAAGAAGAAUUUUUCCAAAAUUAAUUAGCUGAAAUUUUUGAGUUAGUGGGAGAAUAUUUUGGGAUUUAUUUUAUUAUGGGAUAUUUUUCCUUAAUUUCCUAUGACUAGUUGCCUCCUAAUUUAGUAAAUCCUCUAGUAUAAAUAGAGCUUGUAUUGUUCAUCAUUUCAUCAAUUAAAAAAAUAUUAAGCUCUUGUCUUUCAAUACAUUCUCUCUUUUCUCACGUAGCAUUGUUGUUUCUUUAGUUUCCUUUCCUUCAAUUUUUUCCAGUAGCUAAUCACCAAAUCAAGUCAUUUGCAAUUUCUUUUUUUUUUUCAAUUCUAUUCCAAAUAGUCAACCACCCCACUUUAAUAUAUUCCAACCCCCAUACUCAAUCACAUCACCCAUCUUUUCACCCAUUUACCUUAAUUAAUUUAUCAAAUACCAACAUGUCCCAAACCUUAGCCAACUAAACUCAUUUUCAGCUUUAGGCCGAAAUUAGCCUCGUCAAAACCUGUGAGUUACGAACCCGAGCCAUUUAACUCCUAAAAUUUCAGUACUUAUUACUUCUCCGGAUUAAGAGUGUGAUUUUGUCAGCUCAUAAAGUCAGAUAAACACUAAGUAAAAAAAGACGUCGUUUUAUUUAGUGUGGUUAGACGUAUAGUUGGAAUUCCGAAAGGAACGUUUCCAAUCGGUUUUUUGUGAACACAUUGGCGUGCCAAGUGGAGAUUGCUGUUUGGUUCUGUCAAGGGAAGUAGUAACCGGAUUUAAAUGUCUCACGCGGUUGAGCACAUUGGUUCGAGCUAGGCUCUUCUAGAAUGCAAAGCUGCCGGAGUUCUAAAUCACGAACGUUUCGUGGUUGUUCGAUUGGUAAGGGUUAGUUAUUGGACGUUCCAUAACUAAUUUACACAAGGAAGAGUUGGUGUCCGAGGCGUCCUUGGUAGCUAUAACUAGCUUAUUGGAAAAGAGGAGUUCAUCCAAUUUCGAGGAUCGGUUCAAAGACGAGGAAAAUUCGUGUCUAAAGCUGAGCUCAUUCUAAUUAAUUUUUCUUAAUAUUUAUUUCACGGUUUUUAUUAUUCUGUUUUCAACCUUUACUUUUGACGUCAUUUUUCUGUUAAUUUCAGGUUUUCAAAUUUUUAUCCCCCCGAACGUCUUGGGCACGACAGCUGCCCCGACAUAAAUUUGGUCAAGCGAGCAACAAUUUACAGUAAACCAGUCUCUGAGGGAUCGACCCUACUCCCUAUACUGCAUAAUUUGUAAAUUAAGGCGUAGGUUUAUAUUGGUGGAUUCGACACCUAUCAUAUAUCUUGGAAAUAUUCUGCUUUGGCCCUCCUACUUUGCUUCUUUCUUCAAUCUAGUCCAAUUGUUUCCUUUUCCUUCUAUUUAGCCCAAAAUUGCACCGCUGCACAAAAUUCAACAUAAACAUGGAAAAAAUCAGUGGUGCACUCUCAUAAAUUAACCAAUUUAAUUACAUAAAAUAUGUAAUUUUAGCAUUUAAUCAACCCAUUUUAUCCAUUCUAACUAGAAAUUCUAUCAAUCAAACCCUAAUUCAACAAUUUGUUCAACAUGAAUCAUAUUAAAAAAUCUAAUAACUUUCAAAAUUUUAACUUAAAUUCAACAAAACUUUGUUUUAAGACCUCUAAAACAUCAAAAUUAAAAGAAAAGGACUUGAUUAACUUACCAAAUUAAAGCUUAAAGCCUCAAACCCUAGUUUUUCCCUUUUCUUUUCUUUCCCCUUUCCUUUCUUUCUUUUUCAUCUAUUAUUUGUUUCUUCUUUCUAUUUUGUUUCCCUUUCAUUUCAUUUCAUUUUCUUUUAUUUGUUUUGUUUUAUUUUAAUUAUAAUAAUAUAAUAUAUAUUUACUUAAUUAAUAACCAAUACAUAUUUUAUUAUGAAAUACAUAUGUUUAUUAUUAUUACACAUGUAUUUACCAACACCACUCACUUGUCUAUUAUCAUCACGAUACACUUGUCUUAAUUUUAAUUUAUUCCAUAAUAUAAUAAUAUAAUUAAUAUAAAUUAUAAUUUUGUAACACCCCAAACCCGUCCUGGACGUUAUGGCCAAAUCUGGCGAUGUCACAUUGAAGUGCAUUUGAAAACCGUAUCAUUGCUAAAAUCAUUAUCCGUUUAGAACUUAUCAUUAUCUUUCAUUAAUUCUCAAAUCGUGAUUCAUUUCCAAAACGCUAUACUUUGCGGAAGCUUUUAAAAUAGCUUGCGUGUGCGUGGUAUUUUGAUAAAACAUUCAUCUCUUUUAAAAACCUGAGUUUUACCUACCUCUAGCAGAUAUAAACAGAAAAUAGUAGAAAAUCCAAAUUUUAGGUAAAAAAUCCAUAGAGGCCAUUAUUACAGAAAAAUACCCCAAAAUAAAACUUAAAAUUGUAAAUAAGUAUCAAAUAGAAAAAAUGAGUCAUGUGGCCACCGCUGAGUCCUCCACCACACCGAUCCACCUAUGUCUGGGGCUUACCUGUACAGAUUAAAUAGAAAGGGUAAGUUUACGUAAACUUAGUGUGUAAUCCCCAUACAAACAAAUAGACAAUAACAGAUAAUCUCAGUUUGGGCCUAAGCCCUUUUCAGUAUCAGUAAGCAUUAGGGCCUUAGCCCAUCACAGUACAGUAACAGUGACAGUUAUGCGGUUAUAAAUCCUACCCAACCAGCCUCUAUACUCCAUCUCCAUCCAACCCUACACUCUAUGUGGGGAUAUAAUCAACCCACCUAUCCCUACACUCCAAAUAGUACCGAAUGCGGCACUAAACAGUAGUUGCAGCUAAGCUGCCAGUAAGUUAGGCUUGAAGCCAUUCAGUACACUUCCUCCAAUCAAUAUAGUGUAUACAGCAUGCUCAACAUACAAACAUACAUAUCUAUCUUAUAUAGGCAUAUAACAGUCUUUCAAUCAUUUCAGUCAAUUAGGGGUCUAAGUAAACUUACCCACCCUACAGUAGGUUCACAGUCGACUUGGACAACCCGUGCAACCUUAGCAGUCAAUGAGUGAAAAUGGGCCCACAGGCCUAUGUUGCAUCCCAUGUAGGCCCACAUGCUCGUGUGGCCCACACGGCCCAAAAUGGCCUUGGCCGUAUGGAUCACACGGUCUAUCACAAUAUUCUUACAUGUCCGUGUGGUUUAUCUGUACGUGGCCCACACGCCCGUAUGGCCCAUACGGCGUAUUUCAGCUCAGCCCAUGAAUCGCAUAUAGCCGGCCUCGUUGAUCACACGCUUAUGUUCGAUCACACGACCUACCACAUAGGCAGCCGCACACCCGUGUGACGUCAACAAUUACAUUUUUUGGCUUUUCGCCUAUUUCUGUUUUCAGAGUUGUGUUUACACACCUGGUUCGUUUGUGACGUAAAAACACUUCCAAGAUCCCUAGCACUUAUGGUCAACAACCAAACCCCACAAUCAGUCCUAAUUCCUAGUUAACUUGAAACCAAAAUAUUGACAAUGAUUCGUUCAAUCCAUUCGUUACCUACCUUUAAAACCGAGCAACCCCCAACUAUGGAUCCGAACGAGAUAGGUCACCACUCCCACAAUUCACUGCUGACAAAUCUGAUAGACCCAAUAAGACAACAAUUCACAUCUUCAUAGCUUAAAAGAAUAGAAAAGCUUCCCCUAAUUCACCAAACACAAUCACCUUACUUACUAAACGAAUGACGGCAGAACCACACCGCUCCAAUGCUAAUCGAUUCGUUCUGGCCCUUAACCUUCAACAAUGAAGCAGUUGACCUAUCACCAAAAAUCCAUAAACCAAAUAACACCACAGUUACAAAACUUACCACCAAUGCACAAAAACAAAACGGAGAUGACAAAUUGCGGCAAUAAAGAUUUGAGAAGGAAAUGGACUACUAAAAAAACCAAAGCAGGGAGAGAAGGAAAUUUUCAGCGGUAGUCGACAACAAACAAAAAGAGGAGAAAAGAAAGGCCAAUGGCAUAAUUCGCAGAGAGAAUAAUAGCCAAGUAAAAAAAUAGAGGAGGAAAAACAGUCGGCUGCAAGGGAGAGAAAAGAAUCGGCAAAGAAAAUGAAGGGGAAGGAUGAAAAGAGGGAGAAGAUUCAACCAAGGGAGGAGGGGGACGUUUGCUCACCUUAAUUAACUCCCCCUAUCCCUAAAUUUGGGAAGCACAGAAUUCCACUCAAUUACCACUACCCCCUAAAUCCCUUAAUUAACUCCCCCUAUCCCUUAAUUUCACUCCCCAAUCGUCCACCACAAUCCCCUCAACCAUCGAAUUCAAACCCCACUCAAAACACCCUCACGACACAAGCAGUAAAAAUAAAUCUCAUGUUUGAGUAAGAACUUGAACUCCAAACCUCCUACUCAAUUGCAAUCCACUUAACCACCAAACCAACAAACUCAUUUUAAUGUAUUUUACCAAUAUUUAUUUAUAAGCCUACUGACUAGAGAUAGAGGUUUAUUCAUUUAAAAACAAAAAAUUUUCCCAAGCUAAUGCUUGAACUUGGGACCUCCCAAAUAUUCCCAAAAUACAUAGCUAUUAAAAUUGACAGAUAUUUUUGAUACAAAUAUACGAAAAUAAAUAUAUAAGAGAUUUUUGGGACGUUACAAAUUUUGAAUAAAUAAUAAUAUAUCUAAUUAAUUAACAUAAAUAUCUAAGAUUUUUAUACACAUUUGCCGCCUCAUUUAAUGGAAUAGGCUUAAUUGCCUAUUUAGUCCCUACUAUUUUCUUUUAAUCUAUAAUUAAACUUUUGCACCUUAUUCUAUUUAGUCCUUUUUCCUAAUUUCUCUUAUUUAAACUAAAUUCAUCCAAUUAAAACUUAAUCGGGCACAUCACUAGACUCAUAAUUACUCCUAAUAAUUAUUUACGGACUCGGUUUACUAAGACGAAGGCCCGAUAUUGCACUUUUUCGAUGCCCAUGAAUUUUGGGUCAUUACAUAUUGUAGAUAGACACUAAUCUUAGUUUAUGUAAUUCAAUCUAUACCGAAAGAUUUGGGUAUGCUUUUUAUGUCUACAAUUCUUUCGUGGGUAUGCUUAUAUUACUUUUUGUGUAGUGUCUUGUUUUACAUAGUUUAUAAUUGUCCCAACGAAUUUAAUUUAGAAUUUCUUUUUUUUUGUUUAUUCUGUGUGUUGUGUCAAUUUAUUUAUUUAUUUAUUUAAAAUGUUUUUUUUAUGUUCUAUUUUUUUUUCAUUUGUAAGCUUUUAUAAGAUUAUAUUUAUUUAUACAUUAAUACUUUUUCUUAUGUAAAAUUUUGUACGUUAACAUAUUUUUAUCGUAUUUACUUUAUUUUCCAUGACACGAUAUUUUUAAUUAUUUUUAAUACUUCUAUAUCAUGUUUUAAUUCGACAAUGUUCAUAGUUUUAUGAAAAUAAUUCUAUUUUAUUCUAAAUCAUGAUAAUGAUAUGGGCACCCAAACCGCAAACUUCACUACAAAACCCCAAAAACACAGAGAGCAAAGUCAAAACUCUUAACGAAAGACAUGAUGGAAUUGGCGAUGGAAACACAGAACAGAACAGCGACACCUUAAUUAAGUCCCCUACAUCAUUCUCUCAACAUAAACCAAAGGAUUAAGUCUCCAUUAGAAUAGGUUUUAUUUGUUUAUUCUCAUUUAUUUAUUUUGAUAAAUCAACAUAAACAACAACCCAAAUGUUGAUUUACAACCUUAACUUUAAGCAAUUAAACGAUAAGUCGGCUUUACAAGUAAAUGAUUAGCCCUCGGCAACGAAAGGCCGAACUUCUCGGUCAUGUCGAGUUCAAUAGGCAACAUCCCAUCAGGCAACUCCCAAUCAAAGCAAUGGGCUAAUUGAGCUAAAAUAAGACGCAUGCUGAUUAGAGCUAACUGCAUUCCGGGACAUCCUCUACGACCGGUUCCGAACGGAAUGAGUUCGAAAUCAUGCCCUCGAAGGUCUAUCUUCCUAUCCUUGAAUCUUUCUGGAAAGAACUCUUCGGCAUUGCUCGACCAUAUCUUGGGGUUUCGCCCCAUGGACCAAGUGUUCACCAAAAGCCGCGACUUCUUAGGUAUGAAAUACCCAUUAACGGUGACAUCUUCGGUCGACUCGUGCGGGACUAACAACGGUGCCGCCGGAUGCAACCUGAAACUCUCUUUGAUGACCAUAUCCAAAUAGGCAAGUUUCGGUAGGUCCGACUCUUCUACCAUUCUAUUCCUUCCGACAACACUUUCUAGCUCUUUCUGGAGAGCAACCAUGACUCGAGGAUGCUUUAGAAGUUCUGUAAAUGUCCACUCAAUGGCCGUGGAUGUAGUGUCGAAGGAAGCUGCCACCAUGUCCACCAUUAUAGCCUUGAUGUUUUCUCUACCAAUGAUGUAGGGUUGAUCUUUAUCGUUAGGGUUUAUGGGUGUAUCCAACAACGAAACCAUCACUUGAAAGAAACUUCUAUAAGGUUUUUGGUCAUCCAUGUUAAUCCCUUGUUGGUAUUCAUCUAUCAUUUUCUCAAAAAAUUCGUGAAGGCCACUACUCACCUUCUUAAGCCUUCUUGUAUAUCCCUGCAGCGUAAAGAUAGAUAUGAUAGAAUCAGUUUUAUAUUAAUUGUAUUUUUCAUUAUAAUUAUUCUUUGUGAAAAAACCAACGAGUCAUUCAACCAAAUAUUAAGACUUCCGAGUUUCACUCUGCAUCUUAUAAGAUUACUAUAACACAAUUUAUUAUGCUUUAAAAUUGGUAUUACUAUUAGUACGAAAAAAUAAAUAAAUUAUGAAAAAGAAAAAUAGUACAUAAAAAAACAGGAUAUAAGGAGGAAAAAAAAAACGUUACCUGAAGAUCAAGUGGAGCAAGGAAAGGCACAUAAUCCGAGAGAUUGAAAACCCCAGAUAAGUGCAGGGCCUCAUCAACCAGCGGCUUAAAAUCGAUUUUAUCAUACAUGGACCGCCCGAAUAACACUUUCGACAUCAUUUCUUCAAGAACCUUAGCCACCGCCUGGCUAAGGUUUAUUGUUUCACCCGCCGCCGCUACCUUCCUCACUGAUUCAACCAAUAACCCCACCUCCGCCUUCCUUAUCGGGGCAAAACAUUCAACUUUGGAAGCACUGAGGAAAUGCAAAAUAC
Molecule: long non-coding RNA, 31606 nt
Filed under: Gossypium barbadense (sea-island cotton)
Lineage: Eukaryota; Viridiplantae; Streptophyta; Magnoliopsida; Malvales; Malvaceae
Description: long non-coding RNA (GBAR_LNC013224)
Source: RNAcentral